RNAcentral lists this transfer RNA (67 nucleotides) under Scorpaenopsis cirrosa. RNAcentral's name for it is "tRNA-Cys". The record is from RNAcentral. Lineage: Eukaryota; Metazoa; Chordata; Actinopteri; Perciformes; Scorpaenidae. RNAcentral also lists the same sequence under 1 other name.
AGCCUUGAGGUGUUUCACAUGUAGGAUUGCAAAUCCUGAGUAGUAGGCUAGCCGUCUACCGGGGCUU